Molecule: unclassified non-coding RNA, 289 nt
Filed under: Hevea brasiliensis (rubber tree)
Lineage: Eukaryota; Viridiplantae; Streptophyta; Magnoliopsida; Malpighiales; Euphorbiaceae
Source: RNAcentral
GGGAAAUUAGGUCAAAAAAAGGGGGGAAAAGAUCAUAAAUCUGCUCAAGGCCCAAAAAUUUUGGAAUUCAAAAAUCGAAAACCCUUCACCAAUUUGGACAAACCACUUUUUCUGAAAUUUCAAUUCAUUCCCAAAGAAGGAAUGGCCAGAUCGACGCCUGAGAUUAACUUACCCAUCCUUGGAAGGCGACGUGGCGUAAUCUCACGCUGGGAGGACGAUCCCGUGUGAUCUUCUUGUUGUACGAAAAAGGGAUGACGGGGAAUACAAUGAUAGGCAGAGCUCCGCGUCU